AGGGGAGGUGGCGGUGGUGGCCCUCGCCUGUGGCCCCCGUGCAACUUGCACUCGAACUCGUCGCCAUGGAGGAGCUCCAGGAGCCCCUGAGAGGACAGCUCCGGCUCUGCUUCACGCCAGCUGCCCGGACUAGCCUCUUACUGCUCAGGCUCAACGACGCUGCGCUGCGGGCGCUGCAAGAGUGUCAGCGGCAACAGGUACGGCCGGUGAUUGCUUUCCAAGGCCACCGAGGGUAUCUGAGACUCCCAGGCCCUGGUUGGUCCUGCCUCUUCUCCUUCAUAGUGUCCCAGUGUUGCCAGGAGGGCGCUGGUGGUAGCUUGGACCUUGUGUGCCAACACUUCCUCAGGUCUGGGCCUAACCGCCUCCACUGCCUGGGCUCACUCAGGGAGCGCCUCAUUAUUUGGGCAGCCAUGGAUUCUAUCCCAGCCCCAUCAUCAGUUCAGGGACACAACCUGACUGAAGAUGCCAGACAUCCUGAGAGUUGGCAGAACACAGGAGACUAUUCUGAAGGAGAUGCAGUAUCACAGCCACAGAUGGCACUAGAGGAGGUGUCAGUGUCAGAUCCACUGGCAAGCGACCAAGGACAGUCACUCCCAGGAUCCUCAAGGGAGCACAUGGCACAGUGGGAAGUGAGGUACUUUGGAUGGGGUGGGACUAACAUGGGAAG
RNAcentral lists this small RNA (667 nucleotides) under Pongo abelii (Sumatran orangutan). Its description in RNAcentral is "retained intron". The record is from RNAcentral. Lineage: Eukaryota; Metazoa; Chordata; Mammalia; Primates; Hominidae.